CCUGAUCGACCCUCUGAGCAUGCCAGCUCACCCCAUCCUGGAGGGAGAAACCAGAGUGUCCGAUGUCAUUAACGCUAAUGAAUCUGAGGCCACUAGCGCCGAGGCAAAGUUCGACUCGCCCAGCAAGCUUAGACACCCUCGACUGUCCAUCAGCGACACAGACAUCAAGGAGGAGAUGAAAACCUCUUGUUACACAGAAGAACAUGGGAAAUGGACAAUGACCACCUCCAGGCUGUGUAAGGUCUAUUUGACAAAGAAGGAGAGUGAUGCAUCAGAUGACCUGGCCUCCACAAUCACGCGACCUCAACCCAAUUGAAUUGGUUUGGGAUGAGUUGGACCGCAGAGUGACGGUAAAGCAGCCAGCAAGUGCUCAGCAUAUGUGGGAUCUCCUUCAAGAUGGUUGGAAAAGCAUUCCAGGUGAAGCUGGUUGAGAAAAUGUCAAGAGUGUGCAAAGCUGUCAUCAAGGCAAAGGGUGGCUACUUUGAAGAGUCUAAAAUAUA
Oncorhynchus tshawytscha (Chinook salmon) is the source of this 500-nucleotide long non-coding RNA. NCBI's taxonomy places the organism in Eukaryota, Metazoa, Chordata, Actinopteri, Salmoniformes, Salmonidae. The record is from Ensembl.